Molecule: ribosomal RNA, 2900 nt
Filed under: Escherichia coli
Lineage: Bacteria; Pseudomonadati; Pseudomonadota; Gammaproteobacteria; Enterobacterales; Enterobacteriaceae
Description: 23S ribosomal RNA
Rfam family: Bacterial large subunit ribosomal RNA
Source: RNAcentral
GGUUAAGCGACUAAGCGUACACGGUGGAUGCCCUGGCAGUCAGAGGCGAUGAAGGACGUGCUAAUCUGCGAUAAGCGUCGGUAAGGUGAUAUGAACCGUUAUAACCGGCGAUUUCCGAAUGGGGAAACCCAGUGUGAUUCGUCACACUAUCAUUAACUGAAUCCAUAGGUUAAUGAGGCGAACCGGGGGAACUGAAACAUCUAAGUACCCCGAGGAAAAGAAAUCAACCGAGAUUCCCCCAGUAGCGGCGAGCGAACGGGGAGGAGCCCAGAGCCUGAAUCAGUGUGUGUGUUAGUGGAAGCGUCUGGAAAGGCGCGCGAUACAGGGUGACAGCCCCGUACACAAAAAUGCACAUGCUGUGAGCUCGAUGAGUAGGGCGGGACACGUGGUAUCCUGUCUGAAUAUGGGGGGACCAUCCUCCAAGGCUAAAUACUCCUGACUGACCGAUAGUGAACCAGUACCGUGAGGGAAAGGCGAAAAGAACCCCGGCGAGGGGAGUGAAAAAGAACCUGAAACCGUGUACGUACAAGCAGUGGGAGCACGCUUAGGCGUGUGACUGCGUACCUUUUGUAUAAUGGGUCAGCGACUUAUAUUCUGUAGCAAGGUUAACCGAAUAGGGGAGCCGAAGGGAAACCGAGUCUUAACUGGGCGUUAAGUUGCAGGGUAUAGACCCGAAACCCGGUGAUCUAGCCAUGGGCAGGUUGAAGGUUGGGUAACACUAACUGGAGGACCGAACCGACUAAUGUUGAAAAAUUAGCGGAUGACUUGUGGCUGGGGGUGAAAGGCCAAUCAAACCGGGAGAUAGCUGGUUCUCCCGAAAGCUAUUUAGGUAGCGCCUCGUGAAUUCAUCUCCGGGGUAGAGCACUGUUUCGGCAAGGGGUCAUCCCGACUUACCAACCCGAUGCAAACUACGAAUACCGGAGAAUGUUAUCACGGGAGACACACGGCGGGUGCUAACGUCCGUCGUGAAGAGGAAACAACCCAGACCGCCAGCUAAGGUCCCAAAGUCAUGGUUAAGUGGGAAACGAUGUGGGAAGGCCCAGACAGCCAGGAUGUUGGCUUAGAAGCAGCCAUCAUUUAAAGAAAGCGUAAUAGCUCACUGGUCGAGUCGGCCUGCGCGGAAGAUGUAACGGGGCUAAACCAUGCACCGAAGCUGCGGCAGCGACGCUUAUGCGUUGUUGGGUAGGGGAGCGUUCUGUAAGCCUGCGAAGGUGUGCUGUGAGGCAUGCUGGAGGUAUCAGAAGUGCGAAUGCUGACAUAAGUAACGAUAAAGCGGGUGAAAAGCCCGCUCGCCGGAAGACCAAGGGUUCCUGUCCAACGUUAAUCGGGGCAGGGUGAGUCGACCCCUAAGGCGAGGCCGAAAGGCGUAGUCGAUGGGAAACAGGUUAAUAUUCCUGUACUUGGUGUUACUGCGAAGGGGGGACGGAGAAGGCUAUGUUGGCCGGGCGACGGUUGUCCCGGUUUAAGCGUGUAGGCUGGUUUUCCAGGCAAAUCCGGAAAAUCAAGGCUGAGGCGUGAUGACGAGGCACUACGGUGCUGAAGCAACAAAUGCCCUGCUUCCAGGAAAAGCCUCUAAGCAUCAGGUAACAUCAAAUCGUACCCCAAACCGACACAGGUGGUCAGGUAGAGAAUACCAAGGCGCUUGAGAGAACUCGGGUGAAGGAACUAGGCAAAAUGGUGCCGUAACUUCGGGAGAAGGCACGCUGAUAUGUAGGUGAAGUCCCUCGCGGAUGGAGCUGAAAUCAGUCGAAGAUACCAGCUGGCUGCAACUGUUUAUUAAAAACACAGCACUGUGCAAACACGAAAGUGGACGUAUACGGUGUGACGCCUGCCCGGUGCCGGAAGGUUAAUUGAUGGGGUUAGCGCAAGCGAAGCUCUUGAUCGAAGCCCCGGUAAACGGCGGCCGUAACUAUAACGGUCCUAAGGUAGCGAAAUUCCUUGUCGGGUAAGUUCCGACCUGCACGAAUGGCGUAAUGAUGGCCAGGCUGUCUCCACCCGAGACUCAGUGAAAUUGAACUCGCUGUGAAGAUGCAGUGUACCCGCGGCAAGACGGAAAGACCCCGUGAACCUUUACUAUAGCUUGACACUGAACAUUGAGCCUUGAUGUGUAGGAUAGGUGGGAGGCUUUGAAGUGUGGACGCCAGUCUGCAUGGAGCCGACCUUGAAAUACCACCCUUUAAUGUUUGAUGUUCUAACGUUGACCCGUAAUCCGGGUUGCGGACAGUGUCUGGUGGGUAGUUUGACUGGGGCGGUCUCCUCCUAAAGAGUAACGGAGGAGCACGAAGGUUGGCUAAUCCUGGUCGGACAUCAGGAGGUUAGUGCAAUGGCAUAAGCCAGCUUGACUGCGAGCGUGACGGCGCGAGCAGGUGCGAAAGCAGGUCAUAGUGAUCCGGUGGUUCUGAAUGGAAGGGCCAUCGCUCAACGGAUAAAAGGUACUCCGGGGAUAACAGGCUGAUACCGCCCAAGAGUUCAUAUCGACGGCGGUGUUUGGCACCUCGAUGUCGGCUCAUCACAUCCUGGGGCUGAAGUAGGUCCCAAGGGUAUGGCUGUUCGCCAUUUAAAGUGGUACGCGAGCUGGGUUUAGAACGUCGUGAGACAGUUCGGUCCCUAUCUGCCGUGGGCGCUGGAGAACUGAGGGGGGCUGCUCCUAGUACGAGAGGACCGGAGUGGACGCAUCACUGGUGUUCGGGUUGUCAUGCCAAUGGCACUGCCCGGUAGCUAAAUGCGGAAGAGAUAAGUGCUGAAAGCAUCUAAGCACGAAACUUGCCCCGAGAUGAGUUCUCCCUGACCCUUUAAGGGUCCUGAAGGAACGUUGAAGACGACGACGUUGAUAGGCCGGGUGUGUAAGCGCAGCGAUGCGUUGAGCUAACCGGUACUAAUGAACCGUGAGGCUUAACCUU